This is a non-coding RNA of Podarcis muralis (Common wall lizard), 1373 nucleotides long. The record is from RefSeq and is a predicted model, not a curated record. NCBI's taxonomy places the organism in Eukaryota, Metazoa, Chordata, Lepidosauria, Squamata, Lacertidae.
GCGGCUUCACAGUGCUUUCAAUGUACAGUAUGGUGCAAACAGGGUCUUACUUAGAGCGCAACUCGUAUGAUUUUAUCAUUUAUUAAAUUUAUAUAACUCCCUUGCUCUGAAAAACACAGGACGGUAUACAGUAGAGUCCUGCUCGGGAGCAUCUGUGGCGUGAAAAGCUGCAAGAUUUCAGAAGGAAUGCACACCGAUUGAAAACUGUUCUAGUCCUCAUCGCUGGCACGGUUAAAGGAGGUGGCAAGGAAGGUCUUCUUGUGGCCGGCACUUUGUCAGAUGGCCCUCGAGACUCGGAUGCGAGGAAACGGCACACAGCACAUGCUCAGAGGUUCUCUGAUGAACAGCCCCCAGUCUGGUUGCACACUGCAUUGGUAACCUACAGAUCCACUCACAGCUGUCUCCUGCCCCCUCCCACCCCACGACCUAAGACCCUCCCCUCACCAGCCAGGCCAGCAUCCCCUCCUCCUGUCAGAUUAAUCCCAAGCAAGAAGAGGCAAGGGGAUAUUGAGUUCUGGAGCCCUCAGACCACCAGGUGGAGGUAAAGAUGGCAGCAUCGGUGAGGGAAAACUAGGCCACACAGCCGUUCGGCAAGACCAAGGAACCGCCCGCGUCCUCACAGCACCCUGAAGGAGCACGACAGACACUGCUUGGAUGGCUGAGAAAAGAAAAGAAAAAACCCUGCUCUGCUUCAAUUUUCACCAUGGCUACCUCAGAUUAGAAUUCCUGGUCCUGCAAAAAUUCAACUCAGAACGAAGCGCCACUGAGUUCAAUGUUGCUACUCUCAGGUAAGUAACUAUACAACAGAACUACAGCAAAUGAACAAAAUUCCUUUCUUACUUUAGUGUGCUUCAGCAGACACACGCACACAGAUGACUGAAGCCUAUGCGCUUGUUCUCAGACUGAUGGGCCAAAAUAAACCUUUGCCAUAUAAAACGGGGAAUAGUUUUUUUUUAUAAGAUCCCAUCAAGUUAUUUUAAUCAAAUAAAACACUGCACCUUCCAGCUGUUUUGAAACUACACAGAAAGUGGGGGAAUAACACUAGGAAGAACCUAGAAAAAGCAAGGAGGACGUUAACAGGAAGGAAGGGAAGAUGGAUCAACUUUUGGGAGGUGUUGGGGGCCGCACAUGAUGAGGUCAGGGCCACGGGUCACCCACCCGUGUUGUAGUGUGCAGUUGAGGCAGCUCCUAAUAAAUAACCUUAGUGCAAAUGCUUCUCGUCUGUCUAAACCCUGCCGGUCAGUGUAGACAACACUGAGCUCAAUGGACCAAUGGUUUGAGGCAGGUUUCCAUGUUCAUAAGGAAGCCUUCCAGGUUGGAGCCACUGCUUCUGUGGAGAAGAAGAACGCAUCUCUCAUUCCACUCACAUCCGU